GUGGGGAAUUUUGGACAAUGGGCGCAAGCCCGAUCCAGCAAUGCCGCGUGCAGGAAGAAGGCCUUCGGGUUGUAAACUGCUUUUGUACGGAACGAAACGGUCCGGGUUAAUACCCUGGGCUAAUGACGGUACCGUAAGAAUAAGCACCGGCUAACUACGUGCCAGCAGCCGCGGUAAUACGUAGGGUGCAAGCGUUAAUCGGAAUUACUGGGCGUAAAGCGUGCGCAGGCGGUUUUGUAAGACAGGCGUGAAAUCCCCGGGCUCAACCUGGGAAUUGCGCUUGUGACUGCAAGGCUGGAGUGCGGCAGAGGGGGAUGGAAUUCCGCGUGUAGCAGUGAAAUGCGUAGAUAUGCGGAGGAACACCGAUGGCGAAGGCAAUCCCCUGGGCCUGCACUGACGCUCAUGCACGAAAGCGUGGGGAGCAAACAGGAUUAGAUACCCUGGUAGUCC
This 450-nucleotide ribosomal RNA is filed under the name uncultured bacterium. Its description in RNAcentral is "partial 16S ribosomal RNA". It matches the Rfam family "Bacterial small subunit ribosomal RNA", at positions 354 to 796 of the family's 1533-position model. The record is from RNAcentral.